Pantherophis guttatus is the source of this 1601-nucleotide long non-coding RNA. RefSeq lists it as uncharacterized. Lineage: Eukaryota; Metazoa; Chordata; Lepidosauria; Squamata; Colubridae. The record is from RefSeq and is a predicted model, not a curated record.
ACAGUCCAGUAUUAGUGAGUCUUUAAGACAGAAGGAGAUCAGACCAAGAAAAGGGAGUUAAAAGUGGCUUACUAUUUGGCUUUGCAACAAUUGGAGUAAAGCCUUUUUUCCCCUGCAACAGUGGAUAUAGAAAAGAAAGAACUACAGCAAUCUCAUUCAAGAAAUAUGUUAAAAAUGCCAUCAGGGGACUCAGAAGGGUAGGUCAAAUGGAUCGUUUCAGCAGAGUCCCUGGCUCAGCCGAAUUUUCUGUCUCCAGGCCAGGGAAGAUCCUGAAGAUGAAACUCAAAAACUUUGGCCACCUAAUGAGAAGGAAGGACUCACUGGAGAAGUGCCUAAUGCUGGGAAACAUUGAGGGCAAAAGAAGAAGGGGAUGACAGAGAAUGGAUGGUAGAGGACAGAUUCCCCAUUUGACCUGAUUUGGGAUGCAACAAUCAACAUACAUCCAGAUGCUAUUUCCUACUCAAACCAUUAAUUGCCCCCAUACUGAAGCAAUGUACGAAGCCAGAGAGUGACAGAGAAUUACUCCAGCAAAUAAGAAUCUCCAGCAAAACAGUAACUGGAUAAAUGCAACUCACUAUAUCAUCAGCUAAUAGGUUUUCUUCAUCCUUAGGCACAUUUGUCCUUGCUGUUAAAUCAACAUUCAAGCCAAGAAUAAUCUGCUUUGACUCUUCAUAUAUAGCCAAAAUUCAAAGGAAACAUGAAUAAUGGUGACGGAUACUCCAUAUGCUAUUUAUCAAUAUCUGAAGUUCCAUAGGUAGCCUAACCAUGAACUAAGUUAUCUGAUUUUAUUUUGCACCUGCUGUGUCCAUAGAAAUGAUCAAAUCUUGAAAAGGAAGGGAAAAAUUAAAUAAUAGUCUAAAUAGGAGUUGAAGUAUAAUUGCUAAUAUGAGGAAACAAAAAUUGUAGAAAUGAAAGUGUGUACACUGGUAUUGUUAUGUAUAUAUGUAAAUAAAUAAAUAAAUAAAUAUUAGAAGUAUAUGUAUAAAAAUAUACUAGAAAAAAGGGAGAAAAAAUGUAUAAGUAUGAAAUUUUUGACUGAUGCGAAACAGUUGAAACAGAAAAAGUGUUAAAGCUUUCUUUUUGUUUUUAGAAAAAUGUUUAAUAAAAAUUAUUUUAAAAAAAGAAAAAAAUUAUCAAAUCUUGAAAUCACCGCCACCUCAGAAAUAUUUGAGCAAUUAGCCUACAAAAUCAUAAAAUGGUCUUGUCCUAUAUCUUAUUGAGCCAGGAAUUGUGUGAUAGGCAUUGGGUGCCAAUGACUUCAGCUAUUGAUAGCUAAUCUUACUUACCAGGCUAACAUAUACAUCAUAUAUAAUGCUGCCCAUAAUUGCAAGGCUAUGAGGAGUCUCAUGAAAGCUUGGUUAGAAUGCAGUAUUGUAGGCUAAUUCUGCCCACAGCCUGGAGUUUGAACCUGACAGGGCUUGAGGUUAACUCAACCUUCCAUCCUUCCAAGGUUGGUAAAAUGAGGACACAGAUUGUUGUAAGAGCAAUAUGCUGACAUUGUAAACCACCAGAGAGUGUUGUAAAACACUAUGGAUCUGUAUAUAAGUCUAAAUGUUAUUGUUAUUGCUACUAGCCCUUUAAUAAAAUGAGUUGAAAGAGUU